CAAAACAGUAAGCCAAAAUUAAUAUUUCCUCCUUUUAAGAUGUUUAUCUCAGAUAAUUUGUCACAGUGAGAGAAAGCUGAAUGACACACACCCCUCUGGCACAACAUGGGCAUCACACUGAUUUGUCAUCUCUGAGGUACCCAUGGGGAAGAGAAUGCCCUGGAAUUGCUUCAGGCGAGAUCA
RNAcentral lists this long non-coding RNA (183 nucleotides) under Ictidomys tridecemlineatus (thirteen-lined ground squirrel). Its description in RNAcentral is "lncRNA (ENSSTOG00000032842.1)". Lineage: Eukaryota; Metazoa; Chordata; Mammalia; Rodentia; Sciuridae. The record is from RNAcentral.